RNAcentral lists this transfer RNA (75 nucleotides) under Shigella dysenteriae 1617. RNAcentral describes it as "tRNA-Pro (GGG) (tRNA-Pro-GGG-2-1)". It matches the Rfam family "tRNA". Rfam says of the family: Transfer RNA (tRNA) molecules are approximately 80 nucleotides in length. Their secondary structure includes four short double-helical elements and three loops (D, anti-codon, and T loops). Lineage: Bacteria; Pseudomonadati; Pseudomonadota; Gammaproteobacteria; Enterobacterales; Enterobacteriaceae. The record is from RNAcentral.
CGGCACGUAGCGCAGCCUGGUAGCGCACCGUCAUGGGGUGUCGGGGUCGGAGGUUCAAUCCUCUCGUGCCGACCA